This 1093-nucleotide ribosomal RNA is filed under the name Stigonema mamillosum. RNAcentral's name for it is "16S ribosomal RNA". It matches the Rfam family "Bacterial small subunit ribosomal RNA", at positions 376 to 1484 of the family's 1533-position model. RNAcentral also lists the same sequence under 1 other name. Lineage: Bacteria; Bacillati; Cyanobacteriota; Cyanophyceae; Nostocales; Stigonemataceae. The record is from RNAcentral.
CGAAAGCCUGACGGAGCAAUACCGCGUGAGGGAGGAAGGCUCUUGGGUUGUAAACCUCUUUUCUCAGGGAAGAACAAAAUGACGGUACCUGAGGAAUCAGCAUCGGCUAACUCCGUGCCAGCAGCCGCGGUAAUACGGAGGAUGCAAGCGUUAUCCGGAAUGAUUGGGCGUAAAGCGUCCGCAGGUGGCAUUGAAAGUCUGCUGUCAAAGAGUCUGGCUCAACCAGAUAAAGGCAGUGGAAACUACAAAGCUAGAGUACGUUCGGGGCAGAGGGAAUUCCUGGUGUAGCGGUGAAAUGCGUAGAGAUCAGGAAGAACACCGGUGGCGAAAGCGCUCUGCUAGGCCGUAACUGACACUGUGGGACGAAAGCUAGGGGAGCGAAUGGGAUUAGAUACCCCAGUAGUCCUAGCCGUAAACGAUGGAUACUAGGUGUUGCUUGUAUCGACCCGAGCAGUACCGUAGCUAACGCGUUAAGUAUCCCGCCUGGGGAGUACGCAGGCAACUGUGAAACUCAAAGGAAUUGACGGGGGCCCGCACAAGCGGUGGAGUAUGUGGUUUAAUUCGAUGCAACGCGAAGAACCUUACCAGGGCUUGACAUGUCGCGAAUCCUUGUGAAAGCAGGGAGUGCCUUCGGGAGCGCGAACACAGGUGGUGCAUGGCUGUCGUCAGCUCGUGUCGUGAGAUGUUGGGUUAAGUCCCGCAACGAGCGCAACCCUCGUUUUUAGUUGCCAUCAUUAAGUUGGGCACUCUAGAGAGACUGCCGGUGACAAACCGGAGGAAGGUGGGGAUGACGUCAAGUCAGCAUGCCCCUUACGUCCUGGGCUACACACGUACUACAAUGCUACGAACAGAGGGCAGCUAACCAGCGAUGGCAAGCUAAUCCCGGAAAUCGUAGCUCAGUUCAGAUCGCAGGCUGCAACUCGCCUGCGUGAAGUUGGGAUCGCUAGUAAUUGCAGGUCAGCAUACUGCAGUGAAUUCGUUCCCGGGCCUUGUACACACCGCCCGUCACACCAUGGAAGCUGGUAGUGCCCGAAGUCAUUACCCCAACCUUAGGGAGGGGGAUGCCUAAGGCAGGACUGGUGACUGGGGUGAA